CAGCCGGCUCUGGGGAGGCGGGGUGUGAGUGAGAUCUCGCUCGUGUGGCGCCUGGGACGACGAGGCUCCGCUCCCGAGCCCACCGGCGGGACACCCGGGAGGCACGUAGCCCAGCUCCUCCAGGGGCCGCGCCGGCUCCGCCCCAGCGGAACUGCCCGCCCGGCAGCGGCGGCACCGCGCCGUCCAUCCGGGGCCGUGGCGGGAACUACAGCUCCCAGAGAGCCGCGGGGCGACGGCGGCAGCUCGGGUCGGGUCGGGCCGGGGCCGCGGCGGGAGCGGGCCGUGGGCGGCGGGACGCAGUAUGGAGAGCCCUGCGGUGACCUUCACGUUGGCCUACCUGGUGUUCGCCGUCUGCUUCGUCUUCCCACCCGACGAAGUGCGCUCGGCGGGGCUGACGGUGCAGAGCCUGCUGUCCGCCUGGCUGGGCAGCGAGGACGCGGCCUUCGUGCAGUACCACCUGCGGCGCAGCACCGGCACGCUGCUGGCACACUCGCUCCUGCCCCUGGGUUAUUACCUUGGUAUGUGCAUUGCUGCACCUGAAAAACAUCUCAGUUUUUUCUACCUGGCUUCAAAAGGAUGGAAAACUUUCUUCUUCUUUGCUGUUCUCUUCCCAGCAGUCACCAGUGCUCUGGCAUAUUACUGGUCACGGAAAGGUUGGAAUAAUCAUCCGUUAGCCCGAACACUCGCUGUUCACGCUCUCCCACAGUCGGGCUGGAGAGCAGUAGCUUCUUCCAUCAAUAUAGAAUUUAGGAGAAUUGACAAAUUUGCUACAGGAGCUCCAGGAGCAAGGGUGAUUGUUACAGACACAUGGGUGAUUAAAGUGACCACCUACUGUUUACAUGUUGCCCAACAGCAGGACAUUCAUUUGACCGUGACAGACUCCAGACAGCAUGAACUCACCCCAGACUCAAAUAUGCCUGUGCAGUUCCUCACCAUCCGUGUUGCCAGUAUCAAUCCCUACGUGAAGGCAUUUGAUAUCCGGCUGAACUCCACAGAGUAUGGGGAGCUCCGAGAAAAGCUCCGUGCUCCCAUCAGCAAUGCAGCUAAUGUUGUGAUCCAUCAAAGCCUUAGUGAUUUGUUUCUAGAAACCUUUACAUCUCUGGUGGAAAGUAACCAGACAUAUUCUGUUCCAAGCACUCAGAGAAGCCCUCAUUUCACAAGUUAAAGCUGAUACAGCUUCUGAAAGAAGCAAUCCUGCUUCCUGCACACUCCUUGUCCCCAAGUUGACACAAGAGUUCGUCUGCAAUGAACCUGUUUGGGAGAAAUGAUUGAGGUGAAAAGAGGAAAAGAUGACUGGUUUUCAUCUGGGUCUGCUCCACAAUCAAGCUGUCACUGUGGCUGAACGGACACUUGACCUGACCAGGGAAAAGACACUGGAGGAGCUGGAGCCAUGCAUAGGGUGUAUGCAGACCAUCGCUAACAUCAAGCUCAUCAAGAACUGCCAGGAGCCAAAUGAAGGGGAAUGCC
Molecule: RNA transcript, 1467 nt
Organism: Colius striatus (speckled mousebird)
Lineage: Eukaryota; Metazoa; Chordata; Aves; Coliiformes; Coliidae
Gene: TMEM129
Gene name: transmembrane protein 129, E3 ubiquitin ligase
Exons: 5
Source: RefSeq, a predicted model, not a curated record